GGUUGAAAUCGAUAUGUAAGAACGUUGUUCAGAUUUGAUUUUCAACAUUGCAAUGAGUGGCGAACGGGUGAGUAACACGUGGGAAACCUACCUCUUAGCAGGGGAUAACAUUUGGAAACAAUGCUAAUACCGUAUAAUAUUAAACCGCAUUGGUUUAGUUUAAAAGAUGGUCUUGCUAUCACUAAGAGAUGGUCCCGCGGUGUAUUAGUUAGUUGGUGAGGUAAUGGCUCACCAAGACAAUGAUACAUAGCCGAGUUGAGAGACUGACCGGCCACAAUGGGACUGAGACACGGCCCAUACUCCUACGGGAGGCAGCAGUAGGGGAAUCUUCCACAAUGGACGAAAGUCUGAUGGAGCAACGCCGCGUGUGUGAUGAAGGGUUUCGGCUCGUAAAACACUGUUGUAAGAGAAGAAUGACAUUGAGAGUAACUGUUCAAUGUGUGACGGUAUCUUACCAGAAAGGAACGGCUAAAUACGUG
This 479-nucleotide ribosomal RNA is filed under the name uncultured bacterium. Its description in RNAcentral is "bacterial SSU rRNA". It matches the Rfam family "Bacterial small subunit ribosomal RNA", at positions 41 to 507 of the family's 1533-position model. The record is from RNAcentral.